GUAAAAAGGACAACAUCCGGAUCACCAGGAGGAGUAGCCGUAUCAAGUUAGCAAUGAUUUUCUUAUUUUUAAUGCUUCUGCCAUUAGCAUUGGCAAAUAUGGAAAUCACUAAUUACACCGACGCUCAAACCGUCUCAGUGUACAAAGGAUUAGGGAAACUACAAAUAUCAUCAACUAAAUUAAUCCAUCUAAUAGACCUAGAACAGCUAGAAACAGAAUUGUACAAAAUACGAGAACACACAAUUAAUGACUUAAAAGGAAGCUACCUCUACCAUACACUAACACACGAAAUAGCUCAGGCAUUUACCGCAUUAAGUACUCUGACCUCAAAAUAUCGCAAAGCUCGAUCAAUCAAUUGGAUUGGUUCCGCUUGGAAAUUUGUGGCAGGAAAUCCGGAUCAUGACGACUUAACUAUGAUCGAAAAUAAUUUAAAUAGCCUUAUAACUAACAAUAACGAUCAGGUAAUAGUUAAUAAACAACUGCAAAGUAGAAUCAAUAAUUUAACAACAAUCUCAAAUAUGCUUACGAACUCAAUAAAAAA
Long non-coding RNA from Drosophila mauritiana, 541 nucleotides. RefSeq lists it as uncharacterized. The transcript is spliced from 2 exons. NCBI's taxonomy places the organism in Eukaryota, Metazoa, Arthropoda, Insecta, Diptera, Drosophilidae. The record is from RefSeq and is a predicted model, not a curated record.